Molecule: ribosomal RNA, 301 nt
Filed under: uncultured bacterium
Lineage: Bacteria
Description: partial 16S ribosomal RNA
Rfam family: Bacterial small subunit ribosomal RNA
Source: RNAcentral
CAGUCGCCGCGGUAAGACGAACCGUGCGAACGUUAUUCGGAAUCACUGGGCUUAAAGCGCGUGUAGGCGGAUCGGCACGUCCGACACUGAAAUCCCCCGGCUUAACCGGGGAACGGGUCCGGAUACGACCGGUCUGGGGGGAGGUAGGGGGGCCUGGAACUUCGGGUGGAGCGGUGAAAUGCGUUGAGAUCCGAAGGAACGCCCGUGGCGAAAGCGAGGUCCUGGACGUUUACUGACGCUGAGACGCGAAAGCCAGGGGAGCGAACGGGAUUAGAUACCCCUGUAGUCCCUGUCUCUUAUA